This 234-nucleotide long non-coding RNA is filed under the name Elaeis guineensis (African oil palm). RNAcentral describes it as "long non-coding RNA (EGUI_LNC060312)". Lineage: Eukaryota; Viridiplantae; Streptophyta; Magnoliopsida; Arecales; Arecaceae. The record is from RNAcentral.
AACCCAAAGAUGGACACUCCAUAUAUGAUAUGGUGUGUUCCUUAAUAUGCUUCACAAAUCUCAUUCUGGGGAUAUAUCUUAGAUAUUACUGCAUGUGUUUUGAAUUGGAUACUGUCAAUAUCUGUUACUAACACUCCAUAUGAGAUAUGGAAAGAGGUAGGUUGCCCAACUUAUAUGAAAAGAGUUGAUAUACAUAAGUUUUGUGCUAGAACAUGUUUAUAUAAGUUUAUAGGU